GUGCUCACUUGGGCAGUACAUAUGCUACAACUGGAAUGGUGCAGAGAAGAUUAUCAUGGCCCUGUGCAAGGAGAAACAUUAAGAUGGAGAAAACAGAGUUGCAAAU
This is a small nuclear RNA of Lutra lutra (Eurasian river otter), 106 nucleotides long. The record is from RefSeq and is a predicted model, not a curated record. NCBI's taxonomy places the organism in Eukaryota, Metazoa, Chordata, Mammalia, Carnivora, Mustelidae.